Molecule: long non-coding RNA, 857 nt
Organism: Hylaeus anthracinus
Lineage: Eukaryota; Metazoa; Arthropoda; Insecta; Hymenoptera; Colletidae
Exons: 3
Source: RefSeq, a predicted model, not a curated record
CGCGGGUUUUGUCUCCGCUUAGAUAGUGCGAAAUUAACGUGUAAUAUUUCACUGAACACUCUCAAACGUUGUAGGAAUAUUGUUUCCGUCGCGUAGUUUCGACUAUUCUUUCGAAAAGUGUCAGUGAUCGUAAAAUCGAACGUGAUAUCGCGAAUUUGUGAUCGACGAGGGUCGCUCGUCUCUCGUAGAAUUAUUGGCGUUCCUAUUUCGUGUCGCCCUCUGUUGUCUAGAAAAUCUACCUUCGGCACGAUGUUCACCGUGAAAGUAUCGAAUGAACAUACAUAUUUACGAAGGAAUCUGGCAAACUGUGAUUACGUGGCACGCUGUGAUCCAUGGAGAGUCUUAACCUCGGCUUUGAUCGCCCUUACAACAAGCAACAGGUCGUACCAGGACAAAGGCCUGGCGUUCGGCGGAGGUUUCCGUGGAUCGAGGUACAAGCGCCGACAAACGUGUGGAGACCACUUCAGACCAGUUUCCGCAUAGUAGUUACGCAGGUACUUUGAUCGAUCGUCGUUGGUCCCACAUGUCGGUAGGCCUGCGUCUAUGUAUAGAGGAAGCCACGUCGACGGCGAGGAUUAAGGGCGCGUUUAAGGGCUGUUUACGGUUUUGCGGACGGCCAGCCAUAAGCCCGCGCGCGUACCGCCGCUGUGCCUCGGAAUUUCGGAUGGUGGUUUAUGGAUAACGGGAAAUCGGGAUGUGGGCCCGCCGAGGGAAACAAGAUAAACGCUCGUUGUUUGUGCUGGCUGGAUUGCUUAAGAGGGAGCAAUUCGAGGAGCCAGGUCUGCCGGUGCACGCGGUAAUGCACGGGUAAGUCAUUGUAAUAAGCUUUGUCUACACGCUGCUCGAGCCGGAGAUUC